GGAUCCCAUAUUACGUAAGGCGGCCGUUUAACCGAUUCCGGCGUGAUGUAAUGCGGAGUUCUGUAAGAGAGAGAAUUCAAUGUUUAGAAUCUCCGGAACACGCACCUGGCGUCUAUAAACUGACAAUGAAAACAGAAUAUGGUAAGUAAUACUAAACGGGAUCUAAUGUAAAGCAGCAGCUCGGCACACGCUAUAUUUAUAACGUGUCACUACGUUUGGAAAAAUGGGCCGAUCGACUUUUCAGAUGCUCGAGGGGAAGGAACGCGAUACCGAUAGCCUUUAUUCGACACAAGCAAAGCAUCAACCGAAGAUAAUCAAGCUAAUGGUACCAAUAACGAGUAUACAGGGCGGAUCACGCGAUUGGUCGAGUUUCGUUACAAAAUAGAAAAAGAAGUUACCGAUCAUUAGAAGACUUAUUUUUCUGCAAUUUUCUCAUAACUGCACACAUUUACAUACAAGUGGUAUUCUUUUUAUCCGUAGACUACUUUGAAUAUUCUAUUUAGUAUUAGAAUCUUAAAAGUAUAGUUUCAAUGGAUAACUAUGUUAGAAUUUAU
Molecule: long non-coding RNA, 554 nt
Organism: Frieseomelitta varia
Lineage: Eukaryota; Metazoa; Arthropoda; Insecta; Hymenoptera; Apidae
Exons: 3
Source: RefSeq, a predicted model, not a curated record